Molecule: long non-coding RNA, 639 nt
Organism: Daphnia carinata
Lineage: Eukaryota; Metazoa; Arthropoda; Branchiopoda; Diplostraca; Daphniidae
Exons: 3
Source: RefSeq, a predicted model, not a curated record
CUGGACAGGCAAACUGACGCCUAUCGGAUAAGUACGGCUCUGCCCCGCAUUCAGUGGGUAUGUAUUUGGGCGAAUGGAUCAACUUAGAAUCGUCCAACGCGUUGGACCGUUUCACAGACUUCGGCAAAACGCUUCGGUCAAACGGUCCAACGCCAACUAGAGAUCCUGUCGGACAAAAGCGAAACUUAGCCUAUAUGUAAACACUGUCAAACGCGAAAACCGUCUGCUGAAAAAUCGUUUAUUGAAUUUUAGAAAAAAAAACAAAGCAAACAGAACCUGGAAUUGGAAAGAAAUUUUUUAGAUUUACUAAAUUGAAGAUUCUGGAAAUUAACACUAAAUUGUUGGAAAAGUCGGGCUUAUUUUGCCGGGCUUAUUUUCAAGCCCCACAAUUUGACAAAAAUGGAAAAUUAUUCGUUUUCUUGGCAAAUCAGCUGUUUCUUACCUAUAUUGAAUUUCCCGAUGGGGAUUCUGUCUAGAUGAGAUGAUAUAGUGGGAAAGCUAUACCCUUCCCACUUUUCCAUUUUAGGAAAAAUUUCAGAUUUUCCUAAAAAUACAUAAUUGCGAUUCAGAAAACAUGGAAAUCACUGCCAUGCUAAUCAUAUGUAUUGUUGAUCUGUUUGAAUACAAGAUGGAGAAGCA